ACGUGAGCGGCAGCGGUUUUGCCCACGC
RNAcentral lists this small RNA (28 nucleotides) under Bombyx mori (domestic silkworm). RNAcentral describes it as "ovarian small RNA-1683". Lineage: Eukaryota; Metazoa; Arthropoda; Insecta; Lepidoptera; Bombycidae. The record is from RNAcentral.